AAAUAAAAGCUAAGGAUUGAAGCCUUUGCUCCUACUACUUUACAAACUUUUUGGGUGUGUAAAUGGUUCAUGUGAUUCUAAAAGGUUUUUGAGUUGAAUAUGAGUUUCAAGUGCAAGCUUAGAGGUUGAGUAGUGUGCUAGGGGAAACGUGGUGCUUGGCAAUUGCAUUAGCUCCAAGACAUGUUUCUAGGUCUGGUUGGUAUCAAGUCAAUUUUAUUUUUACAUAU
Dioscorea cayenensis subsp. rotundata (Guinea yam) is the source of this 227-nucleotide long non-coding RNA. RefSeq lists it as uncharacterized. The record is from RefSeq and is a predicted model, not a curated record. The transcript is spliced from 3 exons. Lineage: Eukaryota; Viridiplantae; Streptophyta; Magnoliopsida; Dioscoreales; Dioscoreaceae.